CAGCCGCCACGGGAAUACCAGCACCUCGAGUGGUCAGGAGGUUUAUUGGGCCUAAAGCACCCGUAGCCGGUUGCAUAAGUUUUCGGUCAAAUCUAUGCGCUUAACGUAUAGGCCGCCGAAAAUACUGUGCAGCUAGGGAGUGGGAGAGGUACACGGUACUCGAUAGGAAGGGGUAAAAUCCUUUGAUCUAUUGAUGACCACCUGUGGCGAAGGCGGUGUACCAGAACACGUUCGACGGUGAGGGAUGAAAGCUGGGGGAGCAAACCGGAUUAGAUACCCCAGUAGUCCCUGUCUCUUAUAA
This 301-nucleotide ribosomal RNA is filed under the name uncultured bacterium. RNAcentral's name for it is "partial 16S ribosomal RNA". It matches the Rfam family "Archaeal small subunit ribosomal RNA", at positions 459 to 760 of the family's 1478-position model. The record is from RNAcentral.